This 253-nucleotide ribosomal RNA is filed under the name uncultured prokaryote. Its description in RNAcentral is "partial 16S ribosomal RNA". It matches the Rfam family "Bacterial small subunit ribosomal RNA", at positions 525 to 777 of the family's 1533-position model. The record is from RNAcentral.
ACAGAGGGUGCAAGCGUUAAUCGGAUUUACUGGGCGUAAAGGGUGCGUAGGUUGUUGUUUAAGUUUGAUGUGAAAUCCCUGGGCUUAACCUAGGAACUGCGUUGAAUACUGAAUGACUAGAGUACUGUAGAGGGUAGUGGAAUUUCCGGUGUAGCGGUGAAAUGCGUAGAUAUAGGAAGGAACACCAGUGGCGAAGGCGACUACCUGGACUGAUACUGACACUGAGGUGCGAAAGCGUGGGGAGCAAACAGGA